CCCUUAGACGUUCUGGGCCGCACGCGCGCUACACUGACCAGUGCAACAAGCAUCCGUCCUUGGCCGACAGGCCCGGGCAAUCUUUGAACGCUGGUCGUGAUGGGGAUAGACUUUUGCAAUUUUUGGUCUUCAACGAGGAAUUCCUAGUAAACGCAAGUCAUCAACUUGCAUUGAUUACGUCCCUGCCCUUUGUACACACCGCCCGUCGGACCUACCGAUUGAAUGGUCCGGUGAAGCCUCCGGAUUGGCGCGCACCUCGGUGCCGCCGAGAAGUUGGCUAAACCUUACCAUUUAGAGGAAGGUGAAGUCGUAACA
RNAcentral lists this ribosomal RNA (315 nucleotides) under uncultured eukaryote. Its description in RNAcentral is "partial 18S ribosomal RNA". It matches the Rfam family "Eukaryotic small subunit ribosomal RNA", at positions 1470 to 1796 of the family's 1831-position model. The record is from RNAcentral.